CACUCAGCUGUAUUUUAAAAUAGAAUUAAAAUAUCAGGUAGCCAUAGCUGGCGCUAAGUCUGAGGAGGGAAGAAGCUGUUUUAUUCAUUUGGUUGGUAGAUAAUUGUGUUGUUUUCAAGUAGUUUUGUAAAUUCUUUUACCCAAAUAAAGGCAAACGUGAUUGUUUUCAAAUUUUCUCAGAACUAACAAUGAUUAAUGGUCAAUUAUUAUUCUCAACGAAGUAAGUACAAUAAAUAAUCACAUUUUGAACAAUUAGUCCGACAAUCUUAACAAGUAUUAGUUAUUAGUUUUACAAAAAUCAAAUUUUCACUAAAAAGUUUUAAGGGAUUUUCGACCCUUCCGGAUCUUCCAAAGUAGCAAGCUAACGGCUUUAACUUCAUCGGCCAACCAGAAUAAAGAUUACGGAAGCAAAAGAAAGCGUGGACAUUGGGAACAAAUAUAACUCGAGCGUGAAUGACGAUAAUCGUGAAGCGUAUGAAAGGAAAGAUCGAUGUGAGGAAGAAUCUUGUAAUUCUGAUGAUCAUAAUGUGAAAUAACAAAAUUAAAAAUUUUUAAACUCUGAGCCAUUGAGCACAUUCGUAACAGUGUGUUGAGUCGUUGCAAUUUCAUCAUUUUAAGCAAUAUUUCCGUUAGUGUGUGAAGAUUAAUUUUAAAAUUUAUAAUUGAAAAUGUGCCAAAUUUUUACAAUUUGUAUCUUAUGUAUUAAACGAAUUAUUUAUCAAAUAAAUGACUAUUAUCGUCGAUUUUGGUAUUAGAAACA
This 760-nucleotide long non-coding RNA is filed under the name Centruroides sculpturatus (bark scorpion). RNAcentral's name for it is "uncharacterized LOC111634402". Lineage: Eukaryota; Metazoa; Arthropoda; Arachnida; Scorpiones; Buthidae. The record is from RNAcentral.